AGUGAACGCUGGCGGUAGGCCUAACACAUGCAAGUCGAACGGCAGCACAGUAAGAGCUUGCUCUUACGGGUGGCGAGUGUCGGACUGGUGAGUAAUACAUCGGAAUCUACUUUUUCGUGGGGGAUAACGUAGGGAAACUUACGCUAAUACCGCAUACGACCUACGGGUGAAAGCAGGGGAUCUUCGGACCUUGCGCGAUUGAAUGAGCCGAUGUCGGAUUAGCUAGUUGGCGGGGUAAAGGCCCACCAAGGCGACGAUCCGUAGCUGGUCUGGGAGGAUGAUCAGCCACACUGGAACUGAGAAACGGUCCAGACUCCUACGGGAGGCAGCAGUGGGGAAUAUUGGACAAUGGGCGCAAGCCUGAUCCAGCCAUACCGCGUGGGUGAAGAAGGCCUUCGGGUUGUAAAGCCCUUUUGUUGGGAAAGAAAAGCAGCAGGUUAAUACCCCGCUGUUCUGACGGUACCAAAAGAAUAAGCACCGGCUAACUUCGUG
This 492-nucleotide ribosomal RNA is filed under the name uncultured bacterium. Its description in RNAcentral is "partial 16S ribosomal RNA". It matches the Rfam family "Bacterial small subunit ribosomal RNA", at positions 29 to 507 of the family's 1533-position model. The record is from RNAcentral.